Molecule: unclassified non-coding RNA, 299 nt
Filed under: Hevea brasiliensis (rubber tree)
Lineage: Eukaryota; Viridiplantae; Streptophyta; Magnoliopsida; Malpighiales; Euphorbiaceae
Source: RNAcentral
AAGCUAAUGGGAAAUCAAUGAGGAAAGAAAAAAAGGAUUGUACAUAAGCAUAUAUCUAGUGGAUAAACCUCUGUUACUAAUACGAUGCAGUUUUUGUCUUCAUAGUAUGGCAACAAAGAAUAGUUCAUACAUGAAUGAGACAGUAAAACAAGAUAUCACCAUUUAAAAAAAAGGAACAAAAGUCAAGCCAGUGAGACUGAACAAAAAUGGUUUUUGGUAGGCCAACAUUUUUUACAUGAAUCAAGAAAAAGAACAAUGAUGUAGUGAAAGCUUAUACCAAUAUGGUGACAGCCUCCUUG